Molecule: ribosomal RNA, 531 nt
Filed under: earthworm cast bacterium C27M1
Lineage: Bacteria
Description: bacterial SSU rRNA
Rfam family: Bacterial small subunit ribosomal RNA
Source: RNAcentral
GGCAGGCCUAACACAUGCAAGUCGAGCGGUAGAGAGAAGCUUGCUUCUCUUGAGAGCGGCGGACGGGUGAGUAAUGCCUAGGAAUCUGCCUGGUAGUGGGGGAUAACGUUCGGAAACGGACGCUAAUACCGCAUACGUCCUACGGGAGAAAGCAGGGGACCUUCGGGCCUUGCGCUAUCAGAUGAGCCUAGGUCGGAUUAGCUAGUUGGUGAGGUAAUGGCUCACCAAGGCGACGAUCCGUAACUGGUCUGAGAGGAUGAUCAGUCACACUGGAACUGAGACACGGUCCAGACUCCUACGGGAGGCAGCAGUGGGGAAUAUUGGACAAUGGGCGAAAGCCUGAUCCAGCCAUGCCGCGUGUGUGAAGAAGGUCUUCGGAUUGUAAAGCACUUUAAGUUGGGAGGAAGGGUUGUAGAUUAAUACUCUGCAAUUUUGACGUUACCGACAGAAUAAGCACCGGCUAACUCUGUGCCAGCAGCCGCGGUAAUACAGAGGGUGCAAGCGUUAAUCGGAAUUACUGGGCGUAAAGCG